Long non-coding RNA from Pipistrellus kuhlii (Kuhl's pipistrelle), 614 nucleotides. RefSeq lists it as uncharacterized. NCBI's taxonomy places the organism in Eukaryota, Metazoa, Chordata, Mammalia, Chiroptera, Vespertilionidae. The record is from RefSeq and is a predicted model, not a curated record. The transcript is spliced from 3 exons.
ACAGAGCGAGGCAAGGUCAACGAAGGAUGAUAUCAAUAGAACAUCUCCAAAUAGCACAGAAUGCAGCAAGAAGGAGCAGCAGAUGUCAGCCCAGCCCAGUGUCAACCCCUGUGGAGCUGCACAGGAAGACUUGGAAGGAAACAGCAUCGCCGCGACGCGCUGGCUGCCAGCGCUCGCUCCGAUCCUCACCCCACUGGCUGUAGUCUUGCCUGUGUCACCAGGUACCCCUGGUUCCAGAUGCUUAGCCUGGCCCCAGCCACGCUCCCGGGCCGAUGAUGCAUCACCCGGCGGAACCUUGGAGAGCAGCUUGCUCAGCCCUCCAUUCCUCCCCCCUGCAGGAGCCAGUCCAAGAGGAGGCUGAUUUCUCCUGUAAAAAAAAAAAAAAAAAAAAAAUGAAAUGAGAAAUAACGGGAUAAGUUGACAGCGAAUCUACUGGAGUUUGUAACAGAAGUGUCUUGUGCAGUAACCUACUUUGACAGUUGAAGUUUCUGUUGUAUAGCAAUGCCUGGUUCUAAAGAAGGGGGGUGGUUUGGAGUCAAUAUGACGUGGGUUCAAAGCCAGGUUCUGCCAAUUUCUAGUUACCUUAGGCGAUCUCCCUAAGCCUUGAUCUUCCC